RNAcentral lists this ribosomal RNA (560 nucleotides) under uncultured Magnetococcus sp. Its description in RNAcentral is "bacterial SSU rRNA". It matches the Rfam family "Bacterial small subunit ribosomal RNA", at positions 337 to 915 of the family's 1533-position model. The record is from RNAcentral. Lineage: Bacteria; Pseudomonadati; Pseudomonadota; Magnetococcia; Magnetococcales; Magnetococcaceae.
UCCUACGGGAGGCAGCAGUGGGGAAUAUUGCGCAAUGGGGGAAACCCUGACGCAGCGAUACCGCGUGGGUGAAGAAGGCCUUCGGGUUGUAAAGCCCUUUUGGUGGGGACGAUAAUGACGGUACCCACAGAAUAAGCUCCGGCCAACUCCGUGCCAGCAGCCGCGGUAAUACGGAGGGGGCAAGCGUUGUUCGGAAUCACUGGGCGUAAAGGGCGCGUAGGCGGUUGAUCAAGUCAGAAGUGAAAGGCACGGGCUCAACCUGUGGACUGCUUUUGAAACUGGUCGACUGGAGACCGGCAGAGGGUGACGGAAUUCCCCGUGUAGAGGUGAAAUUCGUAGAUAUGGGGAGGAACACCAGAGGCGAAGGCGGUUGCCUGGACCGGGUCUGACGCUGAGGCGCGAAAGCGUGGGGAGCAAACAGGAUUAGAUACCCUGGUAGUCCACGCCGUAAACGAUGAGUGCUGGUUGUCGCGGGUAUCGACCCCUGCGGCAACGAAGUUAACACGUUAAGCACUCCGCCUGGGGAGUACGGCCGCCAGGUUAAACUCAAGGAAUUGACG